RNAcentral lists this long non-coding RNA (2026 nucleotides) under Vigna radiata. RNAcentral describes it as "long non-coding RNA (VRAD_LNC003044)". The record is from RNAcentral. Lineage: Eukaryota; Viridiplantae; Streptophyta; Magnoliopsida; Fabales; Fabaceae.
UGGCUGAGUUAUUAAGAUUGAAGGCUGGAUCCUUCAAGAUUAAGGUCAAUCAACCCCAACCCACCUUGCCACCAAGGUUUGGGUCAUUUUACAUGUGUUUGGAUGGUUGUAAGGAGGGGUUCUUGGGUAGUUGCAGACCAUUCAUUGGGGUAGAUGGUUGUCACUUGAAGACAAGUUUUGGAGGUCAGUUGUUAGUUGCAGUAGGAAGAGACCCUAAUGACCAGUAUUUCCCACUAGCUUUUGCUGUGGUAGAAAGUGAAUGCAAAGAGACAUGGAUGUGGUUUUUGACACAGCUGCUUGAUGAUAUUGGAGGCAUAGAUUGUCAAAGGUGGAUUUUUAUUUCGGAUCAGCAAAAGGUACAUUACACUAACAUUUACUUUUGUUAUAAUGACCAGUAUCUGCAGAACAUGAAUAUAGGAGGAAUUAAACAAAGAAAUAAACUCUAACUUAGAUCAAUUAACCAUGACUGAACUUUGUCUGUAUUGUAGGGAUUAAUGUCAGUUUUUGAUGAUAUCUUGAAUGGAGUGGAGCACAGACUGUGUUUACGCCAUUUGUACAACAAUUACAAGAAAAAAUUUGGUGGUGGCUUGCUCAUUAGAGACCUCAUGAUGGGGGCUGCAAAGGCAACAUACUAUAAGGAAUGGGAAAAAAAAAUGGGUGAGUUAAAGAAUGUGAAUGUUGAUGCUUUUAAUUGGUUAAUGAGUAUACCAACUAAAAAUUGGUGCAAACAUGCUUUUAGUGCAUAUCCUAGGUGUGAUGUGUUGAUCAAUAACUUGUCAGAGUCAUUUAAUAGUACAAUUUUAGUGGCAAGAGACAAACCUAUAAUUACAAUGAUGGAAUGGAUUAGGUCAUAUAUAAUGAGUAGGUUUGCAACCCUUAGAGAAAAAGUUGACACAUAUCCUGGUGAUGUUAUGCCUAAACCAAGGAAAAGAUUGGAUAAGGAGGUUGAAAAGAGUGGCAAUUGGCUUCCAGUUUGGGCAGGGGGUUCACUUUUUGAAGUAACUCAUGGCUUUACAAUGGACAAGUUUGUUGUUGAUUUAAGUAAUCACACAUGUACUUGUUAUUUGUGGGAUUUGGUAGGAAUACCAUGUAGACAUGUUGUUGCUGCCAUUCAUUACAAAUUAGAAAACCCAGAACAUUAUGUUCAUCCUUAUUAUAAGAAAGAUGCGUAUAGAACUUGUUAUGCACCUACUAUAACUCCUAUAAAUGGACAACAACUUUGGCCAACAUCAAACUCUGCCCCACUACUACCUCCCAUUUAUAAAACACCUCCUGGGAGGCCAAAAAAAUUAAGAAGACGAGAAGCUGAUGAAUAUGUCAGCCAUUCAAAAUUGUCAAAGAAUCAAAUUGGUAUGAAGUGUAGCAGUUGUAAUGCAUAUGGCCACAAUGUAAGAAGCUGUAAAAAAGGGAAGCAAAGCCAGGUAAUUGUUACUGCUCAUGUUAUUUACUACUUCAUUUAUUUACAAGUAUGUAAUAUGUAACUACCUUACUCCUUUCACAGAAAACAAGGGAUGCAUAUGCAACAACAUCUGCUUCAGCUGGAAGGGCUGGAAGGGUUGGAUCUGCAUCAGCUGGAAGGGCUGGAAGGGCUGCAUCUGAAAUAGCUGGAAGGGCUGGAAGAGAUCAGCUUGCAUCUGCUGGAAGGAGAUCAGGAAGAGAUCAAGCUGCAUCUGCUGGAAGGAGAUCAGGAAGAGAUCAGGCUACAUCUGCAUCCUCAGCUGGAAGGGCUGGAUCUGCCUCCUCAAGACUGCCUGGAUAUAUUAUAGGGUCUCAAGCAAGUUCUAAUUGAUUUCAUAGUGUAGAAACGUCACUUUUUGUAGUCCUUUCUAGUGGGCACAGUAUUUUUUGGACCACUUGUUUUGUCAUGAACAUUAAAGUAGUGAGGGACCACUUUGUUGACUGAAUUAUUGUGUUAUUUAUAGUGCUUUGGGACCACUUUGUCAGGGACCAGCACUAGUGUUGUAUUCGGUGUUGUACUUUGUCACAGACCACUUUUAUAUUAUUCAAUGUCAAUGUAUUCGGUGCA